Long non-coding RNA from Equus caballus (horse), 4770 nucleotides. RefSeq lists it as uncharacterized. NCBI's taxonomy places the organism in Eukaryota, Metazoa, Chordata, Mammalia, Perissodactyla, Equidae. The record is from RefSeq and is a predicted model, not a curated record.
CCUCCCAGACCAGGUGGUUGAGGAUUAAAUGCCGUUCUGAACAGAAGCUUUGUUGGGCACCUUCCGUGUGCAGGCUCUGAUCUAUGCUCUGGGGAAACAGCAGAGACCAAAAUGGACAAGGCCCUAACUCAGGGUGCUUAGAGAGAACAGCCAGGAAAGACUUCUGUUGCCUGGGCCAGCUCAGACAACCCUAAGGCCUGUGAAAUGAGGAAACUGAGCCUGAGCAUGGAAUUUACAAUCAGCAAGACAUUCCUACGUAAUACACACCCUGUCAUCCAUCUCUAAAUUCAUCUGCCUGGAGAUGAGUAAGAAAGGACCACCUUGCUCCUCUGACCGGUUCUUGAGCUAUUGGCUGUCGGCUGAAAAUUCGCUCUUCUAGGUGCUACUUUUUGCAAAAGGUCAACCACGUCGUGGACCAGUGUGAUGUCUGUUACAAUGAAAACAAGAUCAAGAAUCUCUGAAGACUCUAUUGUGGCAAAAAGCAGGAGAGCUGGCGCGGGCUUGAGGCAACACCGUGAGCAGUAAGAGCAAACUGCUUCCUACAGUCCUUGCAAAUUGGUCUAGAAGAAAUACAGCAUCUGCCAGGUCAACAGCUACAUACGAGGUGUCAGGGCGUUUGCUGAGAUGCUCAAGCUAAGAUAAUGUGUCUGGAACGGCAGCUACGAUUGAAGGCACCAUCUGAUUAGGUUGGUAGUAAUCCACAGUCAUUCUCCAAGAACCAUCUGCCUCUGCGUAGGCCAAACAGGCAAGUUAAAUGGAGACGUGAUUGGACCCCCCAGCCCUGCGCCUUUCAAGUCUUUGAGGUGUUGCUAGUCUCUGCAGUUCACCCAAAAAUCCUCUCCCGGCUAGGAAGGAAGUUACCAUAGAGCUGCAUUUAGGUCUUACUACUCUAAUGGCUUUUUGUCCAUGAGUCCAUCCAGCUGCAAAGGAACUUGGGAAACAGCAUGAGGUGGAUCUACAGACCUACGGGUCCACUGUGAUUUCAACUUGGGUCAAAAUUCCAUUUAUUACCUGAUCUCUCUAAAAACAAUUAGACAAGAGGCCAUUACUCGCCAUUGUGGUGGUUCCCGGCCGCCAGAUCUUUUUCUGUUAUAUAAUUCCAAUAACAUUACAGUUCAUUGCCCAUCUAUUUCAUUUCUAAGAACACCAUGAUGAAUAAGCCAUGAAAAGGUUUCCUGAGACGUUCUGAUCACCUCUUCGUUUCUCUUGGAAAAUCUGGUAAGCAGCCCCAUCUCGUCUUUGGGGGAUAAAUGCUGUCACUUGUCCUCAUCCCCACUGACGUCUCCCAUCUGGUGUCUCCCUCUGGCAUCUCCCUCUGGCAUCUCCACCGUCACGUCUUGCCUACUGAGAACAGCUACUUAUGGAUUUUCAAGGACACAGGUGCCCCCUCACUACCAUGUCCCUCGAUGCCUUAGUGAACAGAGUGUCACCAGACCCUUUUGGAGCACGUGGUGCAGUAGAAGGAGUGGCUGCGUGUAUCAUUCGUGAUAAAGUCACUCCAACAUCCUGAUGUCCCUAAGCCUUUGGGUUUCUUCCUUUGCAUUUUGCAAGGAACAUUCUGUUAUCCCAACCUCAUUAAAUGAGGGCCGCCAUUGAGACCAAGUGUGGUCACCAACCAAGUAAACAGCCCCUUCCAGCCGAGUGAGCUAACCAUUAAAUUAGAAUCCCUACUAAGUGCGCCCGUAUCAAAACUUCACCUUGACCCCGUGUGACAUCCUGUCCUCCUUAGUCUGAGCCUCUGAGAAUCUCUUCCUGCAUGUUCUCCCCAGCUGCCUGCCAAUGUCACUCAGCAAAAUCCUGCAGUCACUUUGCUGUUUAUGUUGCUUCCUCCCGGGUCAGACUUUGUGCUUGUCCGCCUGGAACGUGCUGACAUCUGACCCUCGUUUAGUAGCAACAAGGGCAGUUGGGGUGGCGUUUGAGGGGCAUAGGUAGCCGCUUGCGAGGAGACCUUGUCAUAACCUUGUAGGGAGACCUGGCAGGAGGCUGCCUCUGCUUAGUUCUACUUGCUUCUCUUUGGUUCCUGUUCCUUUAUUUCGCAGUUUGUGUGAUUUCCAAUGCCCACUAUGAGAGCAGACACAUAGAAGAUGCACAAUAAAUAUAUUUGGGAUGGAUUAAUAAAAACAUUUUAAGGGUAAGGGCCAAGCAUUUGGAAUUCUAUUUUAUUUUUUAAUUUGUAAUAAAGCAACUGUCAAAAUUUAGCCUCUGUCUCCAGUUAAACCUCCUUUAAACAGAAGACCCAGUUGUCCAGCUCCUCAUAAGCCACAUCUUGGGCUAAUGAGAAGCCCCACAGGGCAGACUCAGGCCUGAUGUCACCAAACCUUCACAUCUGGAACAUGAUUCUUGGCAUCCAAUACAUGCUCAGUAAAUGUCAGCUGGAUAAAUGAAUGAAUGAAUGAACGUGGGGCAUUGCCUCAAGAGGCCUCUUCCUGAACCAUCCAUCUUGGUUGGGUAUUGGUCGCGCCUCGCCCACCCGCUGUCUUCUCUGCCUUGUGCUCAGAGAUAGACUGAUCUUUCAUUCCCACCAGCGAAUUCUCUCCCAGUCGUAACCUGAUGCAGUUCUAUGACCAACAGGUGGCAGGCCAUGAGUGUGGUGGGUUCCACUAUCACGUCUCAGGGCUAAAGGCAGACCCAGCCGUGCCUCAGUGGGCCUCUUUGAGCCCUGAGGCCUCUCCAUGGAGCUCCUUCCCAGACACCCACUGUGACUCAUGGCAGCUCAGGGGCUGUGCUCAGGCCAUACGUUUGACUUCACGGGCGCCUCGCCCAUUGCGACUCCUGGCCUUCAAUCUCCACUCAACUCUGACGUGGUUCUGGCACCAGGAAGUCACGAGUUUCAGAUUGCAGGCCCUCUUCCCAGCCCCAGGAUGUGAAUCUUGAUGGAUUCAAGCCAGUAGUGUUAAUCCUGGUGGACUCAACGACCUCUCAAAAGAAGAAAUAUCCUUAACGACCUCUCUACCGCCCUGCAAUGAAAGUCAUAAAUAAUUUACCUAUAACAUCACAUGUACUUAAAAAUCCAUUAUAAUGCUCUAAGUGGAUUACAAAAAGGAAAUAAAAGGAAAAUAAUUUGUCAUAAAAUCAGUCAUAUUUCAGUAUGCAAAUGAGCAGGCACAGACACGAGGAGACACGAUGGAUAGCUGGAUCCUUGCCGACAUCUGGAGAAUAAGUUUGGGUAUGAGAGUAGGAGCAGAGUCGCCCCACAACAGAAGGGCAGAAAAAUGAAAGAGACACUUGAAUAUCAAUAGUGCAUUCAGUACACAUUAAAAUCUCGCGCACAUAUUUUGUUUUGAUAUAAAGUUGACAUAGGUUCUAGGCUAAGAUGAUUAAAAUGGCUCUUCACACAUGUGAGUGCCCCGUCUGUCUUGUGUAGACUGUUCUACCCAAUGUAGGCUAUUCACCAUGCCUGGCCCCUCCCUCCUAAAUGCCAGGAAGGUCACCGAUCAUUGAGACAAGCCAAAACACCCCCUAUUUCCAACGUGUCCCCAGGGGGUGUACCUCUUUGGUGGAGGACCACUGGCCACCCACGAUCAGCCCAUCUCCUCCGCUGGCAACUGGUCCAGGAGCAAGCACGGGAUGCAAUUGUGGCCGAAGGCACAUGAGAGAAAAUCUGCUGGGGCUUCUGGGAAAGGUUUCUGGUCCUCUAAAGAGGCAGAAGGAAGAAACACAUCCCCUUCUCCUUCUGCCUCCGGGCGAGGUCGCAUCGGAUGCGAUGCCUGGAGCUGCGCAGCCUUCCUGCAGCCGUCCAGGUGACAGCCUGAGAAUCAAGCCAGUGAGGAGCAGACAGCUCAGCGGGGAGCUGGAAGGAACCUGGUCCUCGAUGAGCCAGCCGAGCCGAGAGCUGCCUGGAACACCCCCUGAUUCCUUGGCUUACGAAGUAAUAGACUGUCUCUAUUACUUAGCUACUUGUUUGGGAGUGUUCUGUCUCUUGAAGCCAAAAAUAUCCCAUCUGUGACAGGUAGGGACAGUUUUGCUCAUUACCAUAAUCCCUUCUAUUUGGUGGCAAAGACUGUAAUUUACAAGGCACCAGAGCGACAUUCAUGUCAUCUGAACCUGGCACCCCUGUGAGGUGGGGUCACGAUCCCCAUUCACAAAUAGGAACAUUGAGGCCAAGGAGGAGGGAGAGACUCCCCAGCGUGAGACCCACAGGCAGUGGCCGAGCUGGAACUUGGCCCUGGUCCUUGCUGAGUCCCCUGCAGAGCUCCCUGCCAUCCCGCGCUGCACGCAGGAGGCCUUCUCGACUCUGUGACUUGAUGCCUCCUCCAGGCCCCCAGGCCCUGAAUCUCCACAGCCCCUCAUCGCCGUCACUUUACACUAUUAUUGGGGUGACUUCCCCAAAUUACAAGCCUGAGUCUCUAACACUCCUCAUGAAAAUAUGCAUAGCUCAUCUUGAAAGAACUAAUACAUAUUCAUUAGCACAAAUAAGUUCUCUGUUGGUUCUCAGAUGUGGCAGGCUUUGAAAGAAAUGGGACAUGCGACAGGGAAGUUUUGAGCUGAGUCUAGUCCUGGUACCAGAAUGAGUUUUCAUUCCUUCCUUCCUUCGUCCUACCCUCGCUCACUCAGUGCACACUUAGCGAGCCCUGUGUUCUCGAUACUGUGCUAUCUCUUGGAGUCUCAGACUCGGGCCAGCCGCAGCCCUGCCCCUUGGAGCUGGCCUCCUAGUGGGAAGAGACAGCGGAUACUCACGUGAGUAAGAUGAUCAGGGAUCUGACAAACCCCAUGAAGGAAACAGUACAGCACGAUAGAACGGGAAGUGACUCCACAGGAGGCAGGGGCUCC